RNAcentral lists this long non-coding RNA (261 nucleotides) under Lathyrus oleraceus (garden pea). RNAcentral's name for it is "Pisum sativum (pea) long non-coding RNA (PSAT_LNC001098)". Lineage: Eukaryota; Viridiplantae; Streptophyta; Magnoliopsida; Fabales; Fabaceae. The record is from RNAcentral.
UGAUGUUGGACAUCAUAUUAUCACUUCUUCCUCAUCUCAGUCAUGUUUUGUAUGCACUAGAAUUUAGUUUAAAUAUCAUUUCCAUCUCAAAUCUGUGUCAAAAUUUAAAAUAUUAUGUUGUUUUUUUCUUCCAACCAAUGUGUUUUUCUGGAACUGAACACCAAGAGGAUGAUUGGUUUGCAUAAAUAAGAGAAUAAAAUAUGUACAUUGCAAUUAAAUGACACCACCUUGAGGCCAACGACCUUGAUUGUUCCCAUGUUG